Long non-coding RNA from Populus nigra (black poplar), 1028 nucleotides. RefSeq lists it as uncharacterized. NCBI's taxonomy places the organism in Eukaryota, Viridiplantae, Streptophyta, Magnoliopsida, Malpighiales, Salicaceae. The record is from RefSeq and is a predicted model, not a curated record. The transcript is spliced from 2 exons.
UGUUGAGAAAAGGACAACCAGUUGGAACCCAUAUUAUCAGGAAUCCUGGGCCCAAUAAAAAAAAACGAUAAAGAGGAAUAAGGAGAUAAAAUUACAAAAGAAAGUAAAACAGGAUGCACAUUUUCACUGUGUAUUUUUUUGAACUCUUGUUCUUCUUGUUGACACCUCAACUCAGGAAUGACACACACACACACACACACACACGGUAGCACAAUUGUUGUUGUUUUGUUUAAGGCUUCUUUCACGUAACUUUGACUUUUCCAUAACCUUAGCUUUCAUAGUACACCUCAAGUAUACUGUUUUUCUCCCGCGCCUAAGCUACCUUUCUUUCAUAUAUUCUGGGCAUAAAAGCUUUCUUUAUUUUGUAUACCAUAAAAUCAUUCCUUUCUUUUGCAAAACCUUCACUUAAAAAUUGACCAUAUAACUCCUUUUUUGAGUAGUUCUUCCGCAUCCCUUUUCUAUUUGUUUUAUAAUAGUUUUAGGUCUUUUUCUUUGCAAUAAGUUUGUUGAAAACUGGAGUUUUAGAGGUGAUUCUUCUAUUGUGUGGUUGAGAAGUAUGUCAUCUGAAAUCAUGGUAUUUUGGUUGUCUUUCUCAAUUCCCCUUUGGAUAUGAUGCCUUUUUAUGGGUUUUUCUUUUCUUACAACAAACAGGCAGAAGAAAAGGAAGGAGCACCAGACAGAUAGAAAAAAACAUUGAAGAGAACGAACGAGGCUGUUGUAUCAGAUAAGAAAAAGCUACAGAGAGAAGGGUUUGCUCUUGCGUUGGUAAUCAUAACAAUGGUGGUGCUGGAAGUCUUGCCUCUACGAUGUCGUAGAGGAUGUCAGAUGAAAAAAGGUCGUGUUAGCACUGUGGGUGGCAUUUCGAGCACAACAAGGAUGAUGGAAUAAUGAAGCCGUGAUGGUCUUUUGUGCAUGAUAAUUUACAGCAUCUCAUUAUAUGCAUUGUGUAUAUAUGUUGUCUGUGAAGUGCAUAUUGUUUGUCUUUCCUUCCCCUAUGUUGGAAUAAUGAAGUUAAACUGCUUUCGAUA